AAUAGUAAUUCAACCUAGUACGAGAGGAACGUUGAUUCGCACAAUUGGUCAUCGGCUGGUUGAAAAGCCAGUGGCGCGAAGCUACCGUGCGUUGGAUUAUGACUGAACGCCUCUAAGUCAGAAUCCGGGCUAGACGACGCAUGCUCGUCGCCCGUUUGCCGACCGCAGUAGGGGCCAUUUGGCCCAAGGGCACGUGUCGUUGGCUAACGUCGUGGCGGAAGGGUCACGGUGGCCGCCUUGAAUUACAAUUUCGAUCGAGCGGCGAGCUGAAUCCUUUGCAGACGACUUAAAUACGCGACGGGGUAUUGUAAGGGGUAGAGUGGCUUGCUGCCACGAUCCUCUGAGAUUCAGCCUUUGUCGCUCCGAUUCGU
This 371-nucleotide non-coding RNA is filed under the name Ipomoea nil (Japanese morning glory). RNAcentral describes it as "Eukaryotic large subunit ribosomal RNA". It matches the Rfam family "Eukaryotic large subunit ribosomal RNA", at positions 3015 to 3401 of the family's 3401-position model. Lineage: Eukaryota; Viridiplantae; Streptophyta; Magnoliopsida; Solanales; Convolvulaceae. The record is from Rfam by way of RNAcentral.